Molecule: RNA transcript, 3433 nt
Organism: Panicum hallii
Lineage: Eukaryota; Viridiplantae; Streptophyta; Magnoliopsida; Poales; Poaceae
Exons: 12
Source: RefSeq, a predicted model, not a curated record
AUGGCGCCGCAGCUGCAGUGCUGCUAUUGGAUGUCCUCCUGGCCACGGAUCGAGCAGAUGCCCCGGUGGCCGCGCUCCUCCGACUCGUUGCGGCGGCGGCUCCUACGCCUCGCGCCGACGCGACGGCCCUGCAACGUCGCGGUCUGCGUGGUCGCGGACGCGGACCCGGCACUGGCGCUGGACGGCGGCGCGGACUCGGUGGGGAUCGAGUUCCUGACGGAGGAGCAGGAAGACGUGGACGAGAGAGAGAGGCUCAGGCGGAUGCGAAUAUCGCAGGCGAACAAGGGUAACACGCCGUGGAACAAGGGCAGGAAGCACAGUCCAGAGACGCUUCAGCGGAUUCGCGAGAGAACCAGGAUUGCGAUGCAGGACCCCAAGGUUAAGAAAAAGCUGAUGAAUCUGGGGCAUGCACAGAGUGAGGAGACACGAGUAAAGAUAUCAGAGGGGGUGAGGCGAGGCUGGAGUUUGCGUCUGCAGAGAUUAAUGGUGCAGGAUGGCUGCUUUGUGGAGUGGAGGGACAUGGUAGCUAAUGCAGCUAGAGAAGGCUUUGCUGAUGAGGUUAGCCUCCAAUGGAAUUCAUAUAAAAUCUUGACUGACCAAAUGCGGCAAGAGUGGUUGGGGUAUCUCCAAAAAAGGAGAUCAAUGCCAAGGCCAAGAGGUAACAGACGAGCACCGAAAACUCCUGAGCAGAGGAGAAAAAUUGCAGAAGCUAUUGCUGCAAAGUGGUUGGAUCAAGAAUAUCGUGAACGUGUUUGUAGUGGAAUUGCUAGCUACCAUGGAUCAUGUACUGGCACUAAAACACCAAGAAAGCCAAGGCCUGCUGAAGAACCAGGUGUAAAGAGAGAGUCUAUGAAAAAGAAAUCUAUGCAAGAUAGAGCUGUAGCCUUAGAGGAUGCUCAUGGAAAAGGGGCAACUGUUAAGAGAAAGAAAAGUGCAACUCCCUACAAAGAUCCGAUGGCAGGUGAAAAAUUGGAGAUGUUAUCAAAGAUUCGAGCUCAAAGGGUAGCACUAGCAAUAGAAAAGGAAGAAGCUAUUAAAAGGGCCAGGUCACUGAUUGCAGAAGCAGAAAAGGCUGCUGAUGCCCUGGAAACUGCUGCAGCAAUGAGCCCUUUUGCUCAAGCAUCACUUAUAGAAGCUAGAAAGCUUGUUACAGAGGCAAGAGUAUCACUUGAAUGUGUUGAUCAUGAAGGGUCUCCAGAAAAUGCUUCUGAUGAUAUUUCAGAGGACUCAGGUUUAUUGGACUCUGACCACGGACUGGAGACACCGAAUGAAAACAAUGUGUUGUACCAAGACAAUAAACCUGUUAAUGGGAUAAAAUUUCCCCCAAGCAAUGGUAAAGGCAUUGGUUUCCAUUUCGAUGUAUCUGCAUUCACCGGAAUAAAACAACUAUAUCAGAGAAUAGAGAAUUCCAUGGAAAGAGCUUUUCUUCUUCCUGCAGCUUCAUCAAAGCAAGCUGUGAAUGGAGAUUUCAGAAUAAUAGAUUUUCAAGUUAGGCAAUCUAUGGUCAAUGAUAUGGCAAACAAUGAUUGCAUAGCAGCUGAAUCAACUGAUCUUCCAGGGACACUGGGAGAAGAUGCUCCCAGGUCUGCAGAAAAUUCCGAAACAGGAGAAGAUUGUUCUCCGGGGACACUGGAAGAAGACACACCUUCAUCUGAUGAAAAGGCUACGAUGAGAUGGUAUAAACCUACUGGCGCGGACGGGACCUUGAGUGCCGUGACAUCGAGGCACUUUAUUGCUUUGCAUACGUGCAGUAUCGAGCGCUUCACGACCAGCCUGUUCUCUUUCGAGGUUUACAGUGAGGCUCAGGCCAUAGGAACUAUCGAGGGUUCGAAUCCCUCUCUCUCCUUUUGUUUAUUGAAUACAUUUGUUUCUUUCUAUGUUUUUCUUUGUUCUAUUCAGUUUAGUGAGUCUAAACAAUUUCCGUAGCCAGCCUGUAAGGGAGAGCCUGUAUAUAUUAGAACCUUUUUUACCCAACGUAUUGGUCUUUCGCAUAAUUAGAUUACAUAAAUCCCCCUACAAGAAAUAUAUAUAUUCAGAUUAUGUCUUCACUGUGCCCGAUUGUAUUUCCUUCAAGGGAGGGCAAUUUUGUGUUUUUGAGGAAAAUUAUAUGGUAAAUGGAGUAUAAAUGCGCUGUGUAUGAAUAACUACCACGAAUUGUGUAGUUUCAAGUCUUGAUUUGGAGGUCUAGGCAUAAGAUUCACAGUACUGUUACAGAAGCAUAAGCUUUUUUCUUUUCCCUUCUAGCUGGCUACCAGAAUCCAAGGGGGUAAUGUCUUCUUUACUUGUGAGCUAUCUACAGGUGAGUAUAAUAAUAAGCAAUUUUGUUGCCCAUCUUAACUAGAGGUGCUUGUGGUCUAUUCAAACAGGAGAAUGGGUACGAAUCAAUACCGAUUGCUAGCCAUGAGGGGAAACAUUAUACAUGCUUUCUACCAGUUGACGAAACUAAGAUCAUGAAGUCAAUUGACCCACAAAAUGCAACUAAUGUUAUAAUAGAAAGUGACAGGAGAAUUAAGCCAAAGGAGCGAAAUGAGCUGCUUGAGCCUCUCAAUGAUCAGUGUUUCUACAGGCAUGAAGGUUGGUGGUCUUAUGAGUUCUGUUACCAUGGGAAAAUCCGAUAGGUUCAUGUAGAAGGUGAGAAGAGAAUGAUGAUAGAGGAACCAGAGAUCUACCAGCGGAUGCUUCAGAGCCUCAUUUCGAAAGCUCAACAAUGUAACAAUGAGAAACUUCUGGAGAACCCAUACCUUCAAAUGUGUGGAAUAUUGCAGUUAUCAACUGACCUAGGAGUGCAAUGAUCAGGCCGUGAAGGCAUUUCAAUGGAUAAAGCUAUAGGGUAGAAUCUGAAGUACUUUAGGCUGUGUUUAUUGCAGAAGAAUCUGAAAUUGGAUUCCUCUGCUCCAAAUUAAGAAAAGAUGCAAUGCGAAUCAUGUAAAUUACUGGGUUGGCCGGAUUCUUGUACAGGCCUCUGAAUUUCUUCAUUCUUUGUUAGACUUGGUGAAUAUCUUUCCGUGGGAGCUACUGUGAUUGACAGGAUAAUUUGGAGAUCAUCCUGUGUUAUGGACACCGUGCCAUCAUGGUUUACCUACCUGGAUGAAUUGACAAAGGUUAAAGACUACGAUUUUGUAAUGCUGACCAUUGAGAUCGAGGCAGCACAACUUUUUUUUGAGGCAUGCUCGGUUCAAUAAGUAGCAGGUCUCUUCCUUAACUAUGUGUUUGUUCUUCUUUACCUUUCCAUAUAUGGCAGCUGACCAAAGGAGUGUAGAUUUGUAUUGCCGAGUAAUAACAAUGUAAAUUUGCAGGGUGGUGGUGAUUAAUUUGGAGAUGAUGUAUCGCUCUGUAUUAGCUAUCAUGUUGGCUGGUUAAUUGUAACUAGCAUCACUGUUCAUACUCGGUUGUGUAUAUGGAAUCGAGAACUGUGCACUUUCGGUUGUGGUUU